Molecule: long non-coding RNA, 742 nt
Filed under: Anas platyrhynchos platyrhynchos (common mallard)
Lineage: Eukaryota; Metazoa; Chordata; Aves; Anseriformes; Anatidae
Description: lncRNA (ENSAPLG00000030020.1)
Source: RNAcentral
AAACUAUGGCAAGUGGAAUUUUUUAGCUACUAUAAUUGAUACGGCUUGUCUUAAGAAAUAAUAAACAUCAUGUUUUUAGGGAGCAGAAGCCUGAGGACAUGAAUGCCCUUUGGAAGAGGACCCUGCAGGGGACAGCAAGAGAGCAUCAAGCUAAAACGAAGGCUCCCUAGCGAGAGCACUUGCAAGGUGAAAAAAAAGGCAAUUUUGGCUAAAAGACUUCGAAUCAGCUGCUGACAUGAGUGGGAGUGGAGUGAAUUCAGCGCUCAAGAAAGCAACCACCACCUCGCAGGCUCUGAAAGAACAGUUCACCCGGGAAGAGACCACUGCAGAGAGAGACACUGCUCACAUUUUAGUCCAAAGGAAGGCUGAUGUCUGGAGGAAGAAAAUCUGCAGCUGCCACCUGAGAUUCCCAACUCCUCAAAAAAGUGCAUGCAGUGAAUGGGACUCCAUUUAGUAGGUUUGCAAAACACUGAAAUACUAUGUAAAAUUAAAAUUAACUACAAUAAUAGAUAAAUACUACUUCUUCAAGAGUCCAUAGAUACCCACUCCUGGUUUGAGCAUGCAGACACGAAUUUGGCAUCCUUUUUCCUCUGGACUAUUAAGUGUUCAGGCUCACUAAGCCCUAACAGUUCUUAGAUCCUGUUGGGGUUGGUCUGAAAAAAAAAGAAAAAAAAAAGAAAAAAAAAAGAAAAAAAAAAAGAAAAGAGCAUUCAAUAAAUGUACUGUCUUUAUUGUUUUGUCA